AGGAACCAUAAGGUUUUACUUUCGAAAAAGUCGAUGUUGUUUUACGAAUUGAACUUUGCUGGAAAGUAGAUAAGUAAAUAUUUAUUUACAAUUUUCAUGAAAUUGUGUUAAAAUGCAGAUGCAGGAUAAAUGCU
Caenorhabditis elegans is the source of this 134-nucleotide non-coding RNA. NCBI's taxonomy places the organism in Eukaryota, Metazoa, Nematoda, Chromadorea, Rhabditida, Rhabditidae. The record is from Ensembl.